AGUGAACGCUGGCGGUAGGCCUAACACAUGCAAGUCGAACGGCAGCACAGUAAGAGCUUGCUCUUACGGGUGGCGAGUGGCGGACGGGUGAGGAAUACAUCGGAAUCUACUUUUUCGUGGGGGAUAACGUAGGGAAACUUACGCUAAUACCGCAUACGACCUACGGGUGAAAGCAGGGGAUCUUCGGACCUUGCGCGAUUGAAUGAGCCGAUGUCGGAUUAGCUAGUUGGCGGGGUAAAGGCCCACCAAGGCGACGAUCCGUAGCUGGUCUGAGAGGAUGAUCGGCCACACUGGAACUGAGACACGGUCCAGACUCCUACGGGAGGCAGCAGUGGGGAAUAUUGGACAAUGGGCGCAAGCCUGAUCCAGCCAUGCCGCGUGGGUGAAGAAGGCCUUCGGGUUGUAAAGCCCUUUUGUUGGGAAAGAAAAGCAGCAGGUUAAUACCCCGCUGUUCUGACGGUACCCAAAGAAUAAGCACCGGCUAACUUCGUG
Molecule: ribosomal RNA, 492 nt
Filed under: uncultured bacterium
Lineage: Bacteria
Description: partial 16S ribosomal RNA
Rfam family: Bacterial small subunit ribosomal RNA
Source: RNAcentral